UUUGAGGAAGUAAAAGUCGUAACAAGGUCUCCGUAGGUGAACCUGCGGAGGGAUCAUU
Molecule: ribosomal RNA, 58 nt
Filed under: Schizothyrium qianense
Lineage: Eukaryota; Fungi; Ascomycota; Dothideomycetes; Mycosphaerellales; Schizothyriaceae
Description: partial 18S ribosomal RNA
Rfam family: Eukaryotic small subunit ribosomal RNA
Source: RNAcentral